GCCAGGAUGGUCUAAUCGGUUAAGGCGUCGCCCCGGUCACGCGAAGGUUGCGGGUUCAAUCGCCGCUCCUGGCC
RNAcentral lists this transfer RNA (74 nucleotides) under Ixodes scapularis (black-legged tick). RNAcentral's name for it is "tRNA-Thr for anticodon GGU". It matches the Rfam family "tRNA". Rfam says of the family: Transfer RNA (tRNA) molecules are approximately 80 nucleotides in length. Their secondary structure includes four short double-helical elements and three loops (D, anti-codon, and T loops). Lineage: Eukaryota; Metazoa; Arthropoda; Arachnida; Ixodida; Ixodidae. The record is from RNAcentral.